This 236-nucleotide ribosomal RNA is filed under the name uncultured bacterium. RNAcentral's name for it is "partial 16S ribosomal RNA". It matches the Rfam family "Bacterial small subunit ribosomal RNA", at positions 524 to 757 of the family's 1533-position model. The record is from RNAcentral.
UACGUAGGGUGCAAGCGUUAAUCGGAAUUACUGGGCGUAAAGCGUGCGCAGGCGGUUAUGUAAGACAGUUGUGAAAUCCCCGGGCUCAACCUGGGGAACUGCAUCUGUGACUGCAUAGCUAGAGUACGGUAGAGGGGGAUGGAAUUCCGCGUGUAGCAGUGAAAUGCGUAGAUAUGCGGAGGAACACCGAUGGCGAAGGCAAUCCCCCUGGACCUGUACUGACGCUCAUGCACGAA